This 84-nucleotide transfer RNA is filed under the name Sphaerochaeta sp. Its description in RNAcentral is "tRNA-Leu". It matches the Rfam family "tRNA". Rfam says of the family: Transfer RNA (tRNA) molecules are approximately 80 nucleotides in length. Their secondary structure includes four short double-helical elements and three loops (D, anti-codon, and T loops). Lineage: Bacteria; Pseudomonadati; Spirochaetota; Spirochaetia; Spirochaetales; Sphaerochaetaceae. The record is from RNAcentral. RNAcentral also lists the same sequence under 2 other names.
GCCCAGAUGGCGGAAUUGGUAGACGCGCUAGGUUCAGGUCCUAGUGGUGGCAACACUGUGCAGGUUCAAAUCCUGUUCUGGGCA